This 402-nucleotide ribosomal RNA is filed under the name uncultured Phenylobacterium sp. RNAcentral's name for it is "bacterial SSU rRNA". It matches the Rfam family "Bacterial small subunit ribosomal RNA", at positions 355 to 774 of the family's 1533-position model. Lineage: Bacteria; Pseudomonadati; Pseudomonadota; Alphaproteobacteria; Caulobacterales; Caulobacteraceae. The record is from RNAcentral.
UAGGGAAUCUUGCGCAAUGGGCGAAAGCCUGACGCAGCCAUGCCGCGUGAAUGAUGAAGGUCUUAGGAUUGUAAAAUUCUUUCACCGGGGACGAUAAUGACGGUACCCGGAGAAGAAGCCCCGGCUAACUUCGUGCCAGCAGCCGCGGUAAUACGAAGGGGGCUAGCGUUGCUCGGAAUUACUGGGCGUAAAGGGCGCGUAGGCGGAUAGUUUAGUCAGAGGUAAAAGCCCAGGGCUCAACCUUGGAACUGCCUUUGAUACUGGCUAUCUUGAGUACGGGAGAGGUGUGUGGAACUCCGAGUGUAGAGGUGAAAUUCGUAGAUAUUCGGAAGAACACCAGUGGCGAAGGCGACACACUGGCCCGUUACUGACGCUGAGGCGCGAAAGCGUGGGGAGCAAACA